Molecule: unclassified non-coding RNA, 286 nt
Filed under: uncultured fungus
Lineage: Eukaryota; Fungi
Description: partial contains small subunit ribosomal RNA, internal transcribed spacer 1, and 5.8S ribosomal RNA
Rfam family: Eukaryotic small subunit ribosomal RNA (bases 1-73)
Source: RNAcentral
GCAAACUUGGUCAUUUAGAGGAAGUAAAAGUCGUAACAAGGUAACCGUAGGUGAACCUGCGGUUGGAUCAUUAACAAAUUCAAUCAAACGAGUCAGCUUCGGCUGUUCUCGAUUGUACCCAUGUGAACUGUUUUGUCUCUGGUGGGUAAAGUGUCUCUUUGAGAUAGGAACUUGUUCCACCCACCGAUUUUAAACUUGAUUUAUAUUUGACUUUAAAAGUAUUGUUUAAUAAUAAACAACUUUUGGCAACGGAUCUCUUGGCUCUCGCAUCGAUGAAGAACGCAGC